GAGGAAUAUUGGUCAAUGGACGGAAGUCUGAACCAGCCAAGUAGCGUGCAGGAUGACGGCCCUAUGGGUUGUAAACUGCUUUUGUAUGGGGAUAAAGUUAGGGACGUGUCCCUAUUUGCAGGUACCAUACGAAUAAGGACCGGCUAAUUCCGUGCCAGCAGCCGCGGUAAUACGGAAGGUCCAGGCGUUAUCCGGAUUUAUUGGGUUUAAAGGGAGCGUAGGCUGGAGAUUAAGUGUGUUGUGAAAUGUAGACGCUCAACGUCUGAAUUGCAGCGCAUACUGGUUUCCUUGAGUACGCACAACGUUGGCGGAAUUCGUCGUGUAGAGGUGAAAUGCUUAGAUAUGACGAAGAACUCCGAUUGCGAAGGCAGCUGACGGGAGCGCAACUGACGCUUAAGCUCGAAGGUGCGGGUAUCAAACAGGAUUAGAUACCCUGGUAGUCCGCACAGUAAACGAUGGAUGCCCGCUGUUGGUACCUGGUAUCAGCGGCUAAGCGAAAGCAUUAAGCAUCCCACCUGGGGAGUACGCCGGCAACGGUG
This 539-nucleotide ribosomal RNA is filed under the name uncultured bacterium. RNAcentral describes it as "bacterial SSU rRNA". It matches the Rfam family "Bacterial small subunit ribosomal RNA", at positions 356 to 896 of the family's 1533-position model. The record is from RNAcentral.